GAUUUUCAAAGGUGGUUAAGUGCAGCAUUUUUCAAAAGCAUCUGAAUUAGUUGGCUGCUCAGCUUUUUUUUCAUACCUACCCACCUCCCAAGCUUUGACAAAAGCAAGCAGAGGAUUCCCCUUCCCCGUUCAUGGCAGAAAUGGGGGGAAAAGUUAGACAGCAAAGCCUCUGUGCUGGUUUCCAAAAAGAUGAGUAAGCUUCCUUUGGCUGCCCUGCCUUUUGGCUCCUCCAAGCUAAUGCUGCAGCAGACUUCCUGUUAGAUCCUUGAUUUUAUCAGAUUAUAACUUGUUUUCCCCUGGCAAUGCUUUAAUUCUUUCUACUGCAUUGGGUUGUCAUUGGCUUUUCUUUUCAGGGUCUCAGCCCUAUUAUGUAACAGCAGCAGCAAGAAAAAAAAAAAGAGAAAAGAAAAAAUAUUUCAGAUCUGUUUCUACUUCUGGAGAGGAGCCUUUGUGCACAAUUACUCAUCCAAGAGAUUCAGCAGGGAGAAGCAGAGCUGGAGCACAGAGGAGACAGAUGCAGGCAAUCUCUGCUGCAGGAGCAGGGAGGAUGAGCAAGGGGUGCCCUGACAGAAAGACACCUGCUGUAUUUUAAACAUGGCUAAACUUCCCCAGGACAAGCUGGAGUUGUUGUCUGAGCUGGAACGUGGCUCUCCCUCUGUUUUCCAUCCUGCAAUAUUCCCAUGUGUGCGCUGAGCGCUCACCCCCCAACACCCACACUUCAAAGAGCCACAUGCCUAACCCUGUUUGAGUUUCUGUGGAAGUCUCUGUUCUUGUGCAAUGUCUGAAGGAAGCGAAUUUAGUAAUAUCACAACUCAAGCCAAACACAAAACCAAGCAAAGGAUCCCCAAAUUAAAAAGAGAAUCUCAACCCA
Long non-coding RNA from Pipra filicauda (Wire-tailed manakin), 871 nucleotides. RefSeq lists it as uncharacterized. The transcript is spliced from 2 exons. The record is from RefSeq and is a predicted model, not a curated record. Lineage: Eukaryota; Metazoa; Chordata; Aves; Passeriformes; Pipridae.